Molecule: ribosomal RNA, 406 nt
Filed under: uncultured bacterium
Lineage: Bacteria
Description: partial 16S ribosomal RNA
Rfam family: Bacterial small subunit ribosomal RNA
Source: RNAcentral
AUUGAACGCUGGCGGCAGGCCUAACACAUGCAAGUCGAACGAGUGGCGGACGGGUGAGUAAUGUCUAGGAAACUGCCCGAUGGAGGGGGGUAACUACUGUAAACAGUAGAUAAUACCGCAUACCCUCGGAUGUGCCCAGAUGUGGUUAGCGCGUAGGGGGGGUAAAGGCUCACCUAGGCGACGCUCCCUAGCUGGUCUGAGAGGAUGACCAGCCACACUGGAACUGAGACACGGUCCAGACUCCUACGGGAGGCAGCAGUGGGGAAUAGUGCACAAUGGGCGCAAGCCUGAUGCAGCCAUGCCGCGUGUAUGAAGAAGGCCUUCGGGUUGUAAAGUACUUUCAGCGAGGAGGCGUUACUCGCAGAAGAAGCACCGGCUAACUCCGUGCCAGCAGCCGCGGUAAUAC